Molecule: long non-coding RNA, 233 nt
Filed under: Elaeis guineensis (African oil palm)
Lineage: Eukaryota; Viridiplantae; Streptophyta; Magnoliopsida; Arecales; Arecaceae
Description: long non-coding RNA (EGUI_LNC075999)
Source: RNAcentral
CCCUCCAUAGGAGUGCUAGCUCAUGCAGUCAACUUCUGAUGGCAGAUCUGACUUGAUCUCUUUCUUUGAUCAUUUUGGACCUUUUUGAUAUCGAAGAUGGAUCAGAGGAGGAUGCUGGAUGGUAAAGAAAAAUCAGAUAAAGACUCUCUUCUCUUUGGUUUUUUCCUCAUCCAAAAACCUAGAAUAGUUCUAGAUCUCUUACCCAAGAGGAGAACGGUCUCCUCUUUUGUUCA